UAGGGAAUAUUGCGCAAUGGGGGAAACCCUGACGCAGCAAUGCCGCGUGAGUGAGGAAGGCCUUCGGGUUGUAAAGCUCUGUCCUAAAGGAAAAACGGUUGAUCGGUUAAUACCCGGUCUUCUUGAUGGUACUUUAGAAGAAAGCACCGGCUAACUUCGUGCCAGCAGCCGCGGUAAUACGAAGGGUGCAAGAGUUGUUCGGAUUUAUUGGGCGUAAAGCGCGCGCAGGCGGAUAGUCAAGUCAGAUGUGAAAUCUCGGGGCCCAACCUCGAAACUGCGUCUGAAACUGGUUAUCUAGAAUUAUGUAGGGGGUAGGGGAAUUUCACGUGUAGGGGUAAAAUCCGUAGAGAUGUGAAGGAACACCUGAGGCGAAGGCGCCUACCUGGACAUAUAUUGACGCUGAGGCGCGAAAGCGUGGGGAGCAAACA
This 428-nucleotide ribosomal RNA is filed under the name uncultured bacterium. RNAcentral describes it as "bacterial SSU rRNA". It matches the Rfam family "Bacterial small subunit ribosomal RNA", at positions 355 to 774 of the family's 1533-position model. The record is from RNAcentral.